AGAUGUGAGGGUGAUCUCGCUGUGACAUCAGUCACUCCAUUGAUUGUCAAAAUUAAUUUGACUAAUCUGGCUAACUAUGCCAUCAUCUCCUUACUCCCUCAUCACUCUGUGUAUUUCCUUCCUGAAGCUACAUGCUUGGUUGAACAGGAUGAACUUCUCCAAUAGAAAAUAACUGUCCUUCAGUCAAGGGUAUAUAAGUAGCUAAAACAUCAAAACAAGCUCUCUUGAUGACCAUUUUUCCCAAACUGAUCAAUAGAUUCAAUGUGUUU
Non-coding RNA from Callithrix jacchus (white-tufted-ear marmoset), 269 nucleotides. Lineage: Eukaryota; Metazoa; Chordata; Mammalia; Primates; Cebidae. The record is from Rfam.